CCUACGGGAGGCAGCAGUGAGGAAUAUUGGUCAAUGGCCGCAAGCCUGAACCAGCCAAGUAGCGUGAAGGAUGAAUGCCCUACGGAUUGUAAACUUCUUUUAUAAAGGAAUAAAGUGAGGCACGUGUGCCUUUUUGUAUGUACUUUAUGAAUAAGGAUCGGCUAACUCCGUGCCAGCAGCCGCGGUAAUACGGAGGAUCCGAUCGUUAUCCGGAUUUAUUGGGUUUAAAGGGUGCGUAGAUGGGUUGUUAAGUCAGUUGUGAAAGUGUGCGGCUCAACCGUAAGAUUGCAAUUGAUACUGGCAGCCUUGAGUACAGUUGAGGUAGGCGGAAUUCGUGGUGUAGCGGUGAAAUGCUUAGAUAUCGCGAAGAACUCCGAUUGCGAAGGCAGCCUACUAAACUGCCACUGACAUUGAGGCUCGAAAGUGUGGGUAUCAAACAGGAUUAGAUACCCCUGUAGUC
RNAcentral lists this ribosomal RNA (460 nucleotides) under uncultured bacterium. RNAcentral describes it as "partial 16S ribosomal RNA". It matches the Rfam family "Bacterial small subunit ribosomal RNA", at positions 338 to 795 of the family's 1533-position model. The record is from RNAcentral.